This is an RNA transcript of Myotis myotis, 2321 nucleotides long. It is a transcript of the gene named transcription factor like 5, with no coding region annotated. The transcript has 7 exons. NCBI's taxonomy places the organism in Eukaryota, Metazoa, Chordata, Mammalia, Chiroptera, Vespertilionidae. The record is from RefSeq and is a predicted model, not a curated record.
UCCGACGCCGGCCGGCCCGCCGCGCGCCCCCCGCCGUUGGCGCCGGCAUGUCGGGCCCCGGGCCGCGGGAGCCGCCGCAGGCGCAGGCGGGCGGGCCGGCGGGCCCCGAGGGCGCGGACGCGGCGCUGGGCGAGGCGGGGCUGAGCUUCACGACCACCGACCUGAGCCUGGUGGAGAUGACGGAGGUCGAGUACACGCAGCUGCAGCACAUCCUCUACUCGCACAUGGAGGCGGCGGCCGAGGGCGAGCUCGAGACGCGCCUCAACUCGGCCUUCCUAGCGGCGGGGGGCGCGGCGGCGGCGGGGGGCGCGGCGGCGGCGGCGGGCGGGGGCGCGGCGCCCGUGUACCCGCUGCUGUGCCCGCCGGCGCUGGCCGACGGCGGCUUCGCGGGCGCCAACCCGUGCCUGGGCCACAUCGACUUCCAGGAGCUGCGCAUGAUGCUGCUGAGCGAGGCGGGCGCGCCCCCCGCCGCCGCUGCCGCCGAGAAGACGCCGGGCGCCGACGGCCCGGGCCCCGGCGCAGCGCGGCCCAAGGCGCCCGACGCCGCCGGCAAGGAGAACGUGGAGGGCGCUGGCGAGGCGCGGGCCAAGUCGGCGGUGCGCGUCCGCCUGGAGGACCGCUUCAACAGCAUCCCCGCCGAGCCCCCGCCCGCCCCGCGCGGCGCCGAGCCCCCCGAGCCCGGCGUGGCGCUCAACAAUUUGGUGACUCUUAUUCGACAUCCAUCUGAGUUAAUGAACGUUCCUCUUCAUCAGCAACAAAACAAAUGCACAGCGUUAGUGAAAAAUAAGACCGCCGCCGCCGCCACGACCCUGCAGCUCACCUACCCCCUGUUCACUGCGAACGCCUGCUCCUCUGGCGGGGGCACCAGCCUCUCUCAGACGCAGAGUUCUAAUAACUCCUGUUCUAUACUGGAGGCUGCCAAACAUCAGGAUAUUGGAUUGCCGAGAGCAUUUUCUUUCUGUUAUCAACAAGAAAUUGAAUCCACGAAGCAGACUUUAGGUAGUAGAAACAAAGCUUUGCCUGAACAGGUUUGGAUUAAAGUGGGAGAAGAAGCGCUGUGCAAACAAGCGAUAAAUAAGAGGAAUCGGAGUAGGAUACGUCAGUUGGACACCAGUGUGGAGCGAAGAGCCCUCGGAGAGAUUCAGAACGUGGGUGAAGGUGCCACCACCGCCCAGGGCUCCUGGCAGUCUGCAGAGUCAUCACAGUCUCAUCUUGGGGAGCAGUCCCAGAGCGCCCCGGGCGGAAGGUCACAGCGCAGGGAAAGGCACAACCGCAUGGAGAGGGACAGAAGGCGCAGAAUCCGCAUUUGCUGUGAUGAGUUGAAUCUUUUGGUCCCGUUCUGCAACGCCGAGACAGAUAAGGCCACGACCCUGCAGUGGACCACUGCGUUCCUAAAGUACAUUCAGGAGCGCCAUGGAGAUUCUCUUAAGAAGACCCCUAGCAAGAUGUGACGUAAGUUUGGGAACCAGUGACCCAGGUACAUGCCCUUGACCGGAAUGGAACCCAGAGCUUUCUGGUGCUCGGGCUGACGCUCUAACCACUGACCCACGUUGGCCAGGGCUAACUGUAUAUUUUGAAGAAUUUGAGAGUGUGUUUUGCGGGAAAACUGGCAGGAGGCUAAAGUUGACCAGACCAGACUCCCUGGCGACGUGCCCCGCGCAGGAGAGUCUACAGAGCAGCCCUGCCAUGGAGAUCAAGUGAGCAGACUGGACACUGGUUCCUGGAAGCAGGCGGCCUCUGCCCGGCCGUGGGCGUGUCCCAGCCUGGAGCUCUGCGCCAGCCGCCAACUCUCGAGGGACAUGACUCAAGUUGGAACUCCAGUGGGGACUUUGAAAGCACAUUUUGUAAAAAUAUUUAGAACAAAAUAUAAAACAAAAUAUUUGUCCAUUACUGUCCUCUUAGACCAUUGGGAUGCAGACACUGUGACAAUUAGUAAUUUUUCAAUUAUCUGUCUGAUUCCAUCAUGUUUUCUUAACAUGAUAACUUAACAAAUGAACACCCUUUGUAAUUUCUUUAGUCUUACAGGUACACUGCUUUUUACUUAUUUCCUUUACAUUUAAAAACGCCCCCUUAGCAAUUGGAAAAGUCAAAAUGUUCUUCACUAGAAGUAGUUUGGAAAUUCAUUUCAUUUGUUUAUCGCCUCCCCUUGCAACGACUUCCAGUCACAUGGACUGCAUUGCAGAAUUUUGCUAGGAAACUUCCAGAGACAUCUUUAAAGCUCCUUUGUCCAUAGAUGAGAUGUUGUCACCGUGGGCUGCUUUGGUGACCUCACUUUCACACUGAGUCAGUACUUUAUGUAAUAAACUAUUGUUCAGAACUGA